Molecule: transfer-messenger RNA, 76 nt
Filed under: Betaproteobacteria bacterium
Lineage: Bacteria; Pseudomonadati; Pseudomonadota; Betaproteobacteria
Description: partial transfer-messenger RNA
Rfam family: transfer-messenger RNA
About the family: Bacterial tmRNA, also known as 10Sa RNA or SsrA, is named for its dual tRNA and mRNA-like properties. Its role is to liberate the mRNA from a stalled ribosome.
Source: RNAcentral
GGGGCCGACCUGGUUUCGACGUGGGUCAGGAAGUGGGUCAGGGCAUGCCGAGGCCUCGUUACCUCGUAAAUCCAGC